Molecule: long non-coding RNA, 445 nt
Organism: Ipomoea nil (Japanese morning glory)
Lineage: Eukaryota; Viridiplantae; Streptophyta; Magnoliopsida; Solanales; Convolvulaceae
Exons: 2
Source: RefSeq, a predicted model, not a curated record
UCUUCUUUAUUUCUUUUCACGCUAUGGUGUUUUUUGGGGUUCUAACUGAGUUCACAUGCGCUUCCCGAGCAUUAUAGGAGAUUGAUGACAGACCCAAACUCGUCUACUAUUGAUUUUUAUCCCACUAGUAUUUUUUAUCGCUUAAUGUAUUCAUUUUUUUAAACGUAAUGGAAUUGUGUUUAUAUGGUUGUUAUGCUUGUAGAUUUUGAAGUGGACAUGAAUGGCAAGAGGUUUUCUUGACAGGGCAUUGCCAAAUUGCCUUUCAUUGAAGAAGCUCGGCUCCUUGCAGAGGUUGCAAAGGUUGAACAUACAUUGACGAUAAGGUUAUCUAUCCCUAUUACCCAAUUGAGCUCAAAGAGAUUAGUAUUUUAAUCGAUCAUGUAAUCAAAUUUUAAUUGAGCCAAAUUGCCUUCCAUUGGUAUUUGUAGAAUUUUAAAUUUUUUUU